CCUACGGGAGGCAGCAGUGGGGAAUAUUGCACAAUGGGGGAAACCCUGAUGCAGCGACGCCGCGUGAGCGAAGAAGUCUUUCUGUAUGUAAAGCUCUAUCAGCAGGGAAGAAAAUGACGGUACCUGAGUCAGAAGCUCCGGCUAAAUACGUUCCAGCAGCCGCGGUAAUACGUAUGGAGCAAGCGUUAUCCGGAUUUACUGGGCGUAAAGGGGGCGUAGGCGGCCUGCCAAGUCUGAUGUGAAAUACCGGGGCUCAACCCCGGGGCUGCAUUGGACACUGGCAGGCUGGAGUGCCGGAGAGGCAGGCGGAAUGCCUAGUGUAGCGGUGAAAUGCGUAGAUAUUAGGAGGAACACCAGUGGCGAAGGCGGCCUGCUGGACGGUGACUGACGCUGAGGCUCGAAAGCGUGGGGAGCAAACAGGAUUAGAUACCCUUGUAGUC
RNAcentral lists this ribosomal RNA (440 nucleotides) under uncultured bacterium. RNAcentral's name for it is "partial 16S ribosomal RNA". It matches the Rfam family "Bacterial small subunit ribosomal RNA", at positions 338 to 795 of the family's 1533-position model. The record is from RNAcentral.